CUUUGGGUACUUUCAGGACCCGUCUUGAAACACGGACCAAGGAGUCUAGCAUGUGCGCGAGUCAUUGGGACUAGCGAAACCUAAAGGCGCAAUGAAAUUGAAGGCUCGCCUCGCGCGUGCCGAGGGAGGAUGGGCGGCCCCAAGAGGUCGCCCUGCACUCCCGGGGCGUCUCGUUCUCGCAGAGAAGAGGCGCACCCAGAGCGUACACGCUGGGACCCGAAA
RNAcentral lists this ribosomal RNA (222 nucleotides) under Oocyclus sharpi. RNAcentral's name for it is "partial 28S ribosomal RNA". It matches the Rfam family "Eukaryotic large subunit ribosomal RNA", at positions 630 to 821 of the family's 3401-position model. Lineage: Eukaryota; Metazoa; Arthropoda; Insecta; Coleoptera; Hydrophilidae. The record is from RNAcentral.